GACCGUUCGUGCUGCAGAAGGCAGCCGAUUCAGCAGGAGCACAAGAAAGCCUGAACUCACCAAAUGGCAGUGGUCUUCCGAGUAUUCCACAUCUGAACGCCACAGAAAGAGGGAGAGAGACAGUCCAUUAAAACAGCCACGCACUGGGUGAAGUCAUCUGCUGAGAGUCAGGGGAGCAGUGGGGGUCAGAGCUUCGAGGAGAGAAGGUGGGAUUAUGGAGAACACAGUCGGUUGCCUCGAGAAGCAGAAACACGGGGGGAACAGGCUACGUGGAGGGUCCUGGUCAAGGCGGGAAUUUACUGUGACUCCAGCUGUGCUGUCCUUUCCUCUGUGGCUGUCCAGCUGUAGGGUCAGGAAAGAGUUCACAUUCUUAGGGCCAGAAACAGAUCGAAACGGCUUUCCUCCACCUAGAGAAUUACCUGGCAACAACUCAAUCUCAUCUUUGUGACAGUACAUCCAAGAAAGGCAAAAAGUGAUACUUUAUAAAGUGGGGUGAGAACAAAAGGUUAACA
Non-coding RNA from Kogia breviceps (pygmy sperm whale), 512 nucleotides. NCBI's taxonomy places the organism in Eukaryota, Metazoa, Chordata, Mammalia, Artiodactyla, Physeteridae. The record is from RefSeq and is a predicted model, not a curated record.